UAAAUAGCCAGGCUGUCUUUGGAUGGUUGCCGGCUUCUUAGAGGGACUGUCAGUGUCUAGCUGACGGAAGUUUGAGGCAAUAACAGGUCUGUGAUGCCCUUAGAUGUUCUGGGCCACACGCACACUACACUGACAGAGCCAGUGAGUUUUUUUCCUUGGCCAGAAGGUCUG
RNAcentral lists this ribosomal RNA (171 nucleotides) under Agaricales sp. RNAcentral describes it as "partial small subunit ribosomal RNA". It matches the Rfam family "Eukaryotic small subunit ribosomal RNA", at positions 1352 to 1544 of the family's 1831-position model. Lineage: Eukaryota; Fungi; Basidiomycota; Agaricomycetes; Agaricales. The record is from RNAcentral.